UACGUCCACAUCACGUUGAAACACUGGUUCUCGUCUGAUCACUGAAGUGAAGCAACGUCCAGCCUGGUCAUUACCUGAAUGGUUGACCGCUUGGGAAUAUCAGGUGUGGU
This is a non-coding RNA of Acanthosepion pharaonis, 110 nucleotides long. The record is from the annotation of a GenBank genome assembly. Lineage: Eukaryota; Metazoa; Mollusca; Cephalopoda; Sepiida; Sepiidae.